Molecule: ribosomal RNA, 493 nt
Filed under: uncultured bacterium
Lineage: Bacteria
Description: bacterial SSU rRNA
Rfam family: Bacterial small subunit ribosomal RNA
Source: RNAcentral
AGAGUUUGAUCAUGGCUCAGGAUGAACGUUGGCGGCGUGCCUAACACAUGCAAGUCGAACGGUGGUAGCAAUACUACAGUGGCGCACGGGUGAGUAACACGUAGCUUACCAGCCUCUCAGCGCGGGAUAACGGCUCGAAAGAGCUGCUAAUACCGCAUAAGCUCACGGGUUGUAGAGACCUGCGAGAAAAGGCGAAAGUCACUGAGAGACGGGGCUGCGGCCCAUCAGCUAGUUGGUGCGGUAACGGCGUACCAAGGCGACGACGGGUAGGGGUCCUGAGAGGGAGACCCCCCACACUGGAACUGACACACGGUCCAGACUCCUACGGGAGGCAGCAGUAAGGGAUAUUGGUCAAUGGGGGCAACCCUGAACCAGCAACGCCGCGUGGAGGAUGAAGGGUUUCGGCCUGUAAACUCCUUUUGGUAGGGAAGAGUAAGGACAGUACCUAUCGAAUAAGUCACGGCUAACUACGUGCCAGCAGCCGCGGUAAUUC